This 482-nucleotide ribosomal RNA is filed under the name uncultured bacterium. Its description in RNAcentral is "partial 16S ribosomal RNA". It matches the Rfam family "Bacterial small subunit ribosomal RNA", at positions 30 to 507 of the family's 1533-position model. The record is from RNAcentral.
AUUGAACGCUGGCGGCAUGCUUUACACAUGCAAGUCGAACGGUAACAGGCCGCAAGGUGCUGACGAGUGGCGAACGGGUGAGUAAUGCAUCGGAACGUGCCCAGUCGUGGGGGAUAACUACUCGAAAGAGUAGCUAAUACCGCAUACGAUCUAUGGAUGAAAGCGGGGGACCGUAAGGCCUCGCGCGAUUGGAGCGGCCGAUGUCAGAUUAUGUAGUUGGUGGGGUAAAGGCUCACCAAGCCAACGAUCUGUAGCUGGUCUGAGAGGACGACCAGCCACACUGGGACUGAGACACGGCCCAGACUCCUACGGGAGGCAGCAGUGGGGAAUUUUGGACAAUGGGCGCAAGCCUGAUCCAGCAAUGCCGCGUGCAGGAAGAAGGCCUUCGGGUUGUAAACUGCUUUUGUACGGAACGAAACGGCUCUGGUUAAUACCCGGGGCUAAUGACGGUACCGUAAGAAUAAGCACCGGCUAACUACGUG